RNAcentral lists this transfer RNA (72 nucleotides) under Neurospora crassa. RNAcentral describes it as "tRNA-Thr (CGT) (tRNA-Thr-CGT-1-1)". It matches the Rfam family "tRNA". From Rfam's summary of the family: Transfer RNA (tRNA) molecules are approximately 80 nucleotides in length. Their secondary structure includes four short double-helical elements and three loops (D, anti-codon, and T loops). The record is from RNAcentral. Lineage: Eukaryota; Fungi; Ascomycota; Sordariomycetes; Sordariales; Sordariaceae. RNAcentral also lists the same sequence under 8 other names.
GCCCGUAUAGCUCAGUGGUAGAGCGCUUCACUCGUAAUGAAGAGGUCCGCGGUUCAAUCCCGCGUGGGGGCA